Molecule: ribosomal RNA, 303 nt
Filed under: uncultured bacterium
Lineage: Bacteria
Description: partial 16S ribosomal RNA
Rfam family: Bacterial small subunit ribosomal RNA
Source: RNAcentral
AGCAGCGCCGCGGGAAUACAGAGGGUGCAAGCGUUAAUCGGAAUUACUGGGCGUAAAGCGUGCGUAGGUGGUGGUUUAAGUCCGUUGUGAAAGCCCUGGGCUCAACCUGGGAAUUGCAGUGGAUACUGGGUCACUAGAGUGUGGUAGAGGAUAGUGGAAUUUCCGGUGUAGCAGUGAAAUGCGUAGAGAUCGGAAGGAACAUCUGUGGCGAAGGCGACUAUCUGGGCCAACACUGACACUGAGGCACGAAAGCGUGGGGAGCAAACAGGAUUAGAUACCCCAGUAGUCCCUGUCUCUUAUACA